Erigeron canadensis is the source of this 372-nucleotide long non-coding RNA. RefSeq lists it as uncharacterized. The record is from RefSeq and is a predicted model, not a curated record. The transcript has 2 exons. NCBI's taxonomy places the organism in Eukaryota, Viridiplantae, Streptophyta, Magnoliopsida, Asterales, Asteraceae.
AACCAAUGUCUCUUGAAUCUAAAAGAACCCAAACCACCACACACAUGCUAUCCUCGUACAACCAUCUCAAACAGGCACUCCUCCCAAAUCCCAUUUAGAUCAUCAUCACCUCCCACUAAAGCCAGAAGGCCAAUUAUAAAUUACAGAUGAAAAUUUUCCAAAUGAUUGAAAUCUUGUUACAUAGGCUAAUGAUCUUUCUCUCGAUGCAGAGACAUUUUGUUAACCCUACGAACCUGCCUAACUAAUUGUUGUUAUGGUUACGAAUUGAUUGAUUGUAGAGUAAACUGUAUGACGACACAUUUCAUUAUAAAAAAAUUUGAAAAGAGGUUUAAAUCAAAAAAAAUAAAAGAAGAAUCAUCAUCAACAGAAGAA